Molecule: long non-coding RNA, 1323 nt
Filed under: Nicotiana benthamiana
Lineage: Eukaryota; Viridiplantae; Streptophyta; Magnoliopsida; Solanales; Solanaceae
Description: long non-coding RNA (NBEN_LNC004636)
Source: RNAcentral
UUGAAAUGGAAUGUUUUGAUGAACUGAUCUGAAAGAGUCUUAUGCCAUGUGUGGUGAGUAUUUGGGUAGUCCAUGCAUUGUAUUUUGGGUCUAGAACUUGCCCGGUAUGUGAGUUGAAGCGAAAUUCUAGGUGAUGCUUGGCUUGAGAGAUGAUUUUAGGCUCUCUUUGGUUUUUCUUGAGCUUAAUCGCUAAUCAUAAAUAAAAUUUGUCCCUAGUAACCCUUUUGAGCCUUUAGAAUUUUUAUUUGGCACCCGCAAUACAAGCCGUACCCCAUUGUUCUUUAUUGACAUGAUUUUGAUUCCUUACCUCUUAAAGCACUUUAUUGGUGAGAUGAGCGCUAAAAGAAGUAAAAGAGGGAGAUACGAGUAGGGUGGCUUCGAGUGGAACCAAUAAAAAGAAGAAAAGGUGCACUUGCUUGGAAAAUGGAUACACCACUAGCGGAAAUUGAAAAAACAAUAUUAGAUGAAUACAUUGUGUCUUGUUCUUGCUAGUGGUUAUGAAUUAAUGUAGUGCUUAAAGAAGAAUGGAGCAUUUUUGGGGUGAUAUUGUAUGUAAAAGGGAAGUAUAUUGAAGAAUAUUCGCUUAAAUUUGAUUACGUGAUGUGUUAAAGUGCAUAGGAGGGUUAGUCACUAUUCCUAAAUCUAUCCUACCCGUCUUUUAGCCCACAUUACAACCAUAACAAGUCCUGACUGAUUUUCAGCCGAGUUAACCUACAUUAGUAGAUAUUUACAUUAAGGGAGAGCCUAUGGUACUCGUUGCAUGCGUGUAACUUUAUUGGUGUGAGUGAGCGUUUCUAUUGAUGUAUAUGAGUGUUUGGUUCGAUUGUGGAACAAAUUCAGUUGUGUGAUAUAAUGGUGAGGGCAUAUGACUCUUGAUAGAAAAGCAAGUCUUGACUUCUGUGUAGAGUACUUUGGGAAAGUGUAAAUAUUGUGUGGCUCGUGAGAGUUGUCUAUGAGGCUAUAAAUGUUCAGGGCCAGGCGCAACGGAUGUGUAUUGUUCUAGGUGGAAUGUGCUAAGGGGAAUGGUUGAGUGGCGAAUUAUCAAAAGAGUAUAGUGUGAUUGCUCGAGGGCUAGAAAUGAUUAAGUGUGGGGUGUUGAUAAUAGGCAAAAUCGAGGUGAUUUAGCCGUUGUUUGUGCCUCUACUUGAUUAUAUUCCAAUUGUAUAUUAUGAUUAAUUUAUGAAAGAUGGGCUGUAAUAUCGAAUUGCAUAUGUUGCAGGUUAAAGAUCAUAUUUGGUGCAAGAAAAUGUUGAUUGGAAUCAUUCGAGAGCAAUUGAGUCCCCUCGGGACUAAAUGGGAUCAAAGAGAACUCAAGAAAAUGAA